GAUGAACGCUAGCGGCAGGCCUAACACAUGCAAGUCGAGGGGCAUCGAGAUCAAAGCUUGCUUUGAUUGUCGGCGACCGGCGCACGGGUGCGUAACGCGUAUGCAACCUACCCAAAACAGGGGGAUAACACUGAGAAAUUGGUACUAAUACCCCAUAACAACAGAAGAGGCAUCUCUUUUGUUUGAAAACUCCGGUGGUUUUGGAUGGGCAUGCGUUGUAUUAGUUAGUUGGUGAGGUAACGGCUCACCAAGACGACGAUACAUAGGGGGACUGAGAGGUUAACCCCCCACAUUGGUACUGAGACACGGACCAAACUCCUACGGGAGGCAGCAGUGAGGGAUAUUGGUCAAUGGACGCAAGUCUGAACCAGCCAUGCCGCGUGCAGGAUGACGGCUCUAUGAGUUGUAAACUGCUUCUGUAUGAGGGUAAACUCACCUACGAGUAGGUGACUGAAAGUAUCAUACGAAUAAGGAUCGGCUAACUCCGUGCCAGCAGCCGCGGUAAUACGGAGGAUUCAAGCGUUAUCCGGAAUUAUUGGGUUUAAAGGGUGCGUAGGCGGUUUGAUAAGUUAGAGGUGAAAUGUCGGGGCUUAACCCUGAAACUGCCUCUGAUACUGUCGAGCUAGAGAGUAGUUGCGGUAGGCGGAAUGUAUGGUGUAGCGGUGAAAUGCUUAGAGAUCAUACAGAACACCGAUUGCGAAGGCAGCUUACCAAACUAUAUCUGACGUUGAGGCACGAAAGCGUGGGUAGCAAACAGGAUUAGAUACCCUGGUAGUCCACGCAGUAAACGAUGAUAACUCGCUGUCGGCGAUACACAGUCGGUGGCCAAGCGAAAGCGAUAAGUUAUCCACCUGGGGAGUACGUUCGCAAGAAUGAAACUCAAAGGAAUUGACGGGGGCCCGCACAAGCGGAGGAACAUGUGGUUUAAUUCGAUGAUACGCGAGGAACCUUUACCCGGGCUUGAAAGUUACUGACGAUUCUGGAAACAGGAUUUCCCUUCGGGGCAGGAAACUAGGUGCUGCAUGGUUGUCGUCAGCUCGUGCCGUGAGGUGUCGGGUUAAGUCCCAUAACGAGCGCAACCCCUACCGUUAGUUGCCAUCAGGUGAAGCUGGGCACUCUGGCGGGACUGCCGGUGUAAGCCGAGAGGAAGGUGGGGAUGACGUCAAAUCAGCACGGCCCUUACGUCCGGGGCUACACACGUGUUACAAUGGUAGGUACAGAGGGCAGCUACCCAGUGAUGGGAUGCAAAUCUCGAAAACCUAUCUCAGUUCGGAUUGGAGGCUGAAACUCGCCUCCAUGAAGUUGGAUUCGCUAGUAAUCGCGCAUCAGCCAUGGCGCGGUGAAUACGUUCCCGGGCCU
RNAcentral lists this ribosomal RNA (1359 nucleotides) under uncultured bacterium. RNAcentral's name for it is "bacterial SSU rRNA". It matches the Rfam family "Bacterial small subunit ribosomal RNA", at positions 28 to 1381 of the family's 1533-position model. The record is from RNAcentral.